GGCUUUGGGGAGGGGGGUCCCGGCUGACUGAUGAGAACUCCAAAUGCUCCCCAGCCCCGGCUGCUAAUCACUUCCAGAUUGGCCGGGUCAGGGCCAGGGCCGCCGCCGCCUGGCUCCAUAAACAGCCCGUCGCUCCAGAUGGCGGCUGGCUCCAGCCUGGCGAGCAGGUUCAUGGGGGACUGGGGGGUGGCAGCAGGUGGAGGACCCCCACCUCACUAGCCGCCUCAGCUGCCACACCUCCACACCGCCCUGAGUUGGGGACCCUGGGCCAGAAGGGGUGGCAGAAACUGAACCCAUUGCUCAGAGGAGGGAAACUGAGGCCCGGAAGGGGCAACGUGGGUGGUGGUCAAGGUGGGGGGAAGACAGAGAUGUAAGGGGGGUGCUCCUUGAGGGUUGAUGCUGGGUUCACUUUACCUCUGUGAAUCCAGCACACCAUGAGGAUGCCGUAAAGACCCGAGGAGGGAGGGAAGGGGGGCAUCAUUGCCAGCUGGGUUUAAAUUCUGGCUCCAGCUUUUACUCCCUGAGUGAAUAAAUUAUUUCCACCCCCAGCCUCAGUUUUCUCAUCUGUAAAAUGGGGAUGGCUGGAGUACAGGAUUGCUGGAAGAUUCAAUGAUUCGGCUCCUGCAGACAGUUUGCACUCCACACACGGCGCAGGCGCUGAACACAGCUUCUCCCUCUUCCUUUUCCGGAAACUCCUUCUAUUCCUGCUUCUCCUGCCGCCGGAGAGCACAGUGGCCUCCUCCAGGAAGCCACCUUGACUUUUACUCAGACCUCUCCCUUUGUGCCAGGCACUGUGCUUUUCCCACAGCCUCUCUCACAGGGUCUCUCCUCGACACAACUGGCACCUGACGCUCUUGUCCUUUUGAAAACAAGGAAACAGAGGGUCAGGGAAGUAACUGGUACCUAGUGCUGUUAGGGCCCCGCCCCUUGCAGAUGAGGAGACAAAGGGCCAGGGAGGCAGUGGGAUGGAUAUGUUGAGGUCGCCAGGAAAAGACAGCCUGAUGUGCACCUGGAGCUGUCUCUGAAGGUCUCACAGAACCUGGCACAGCGUCAGGUAACCCGGCUGCCUCUCCUGCCACACCCACCAACCCCAGAGCCCACACCUUGGCACAGAAGGAAGAGAUCCAGGCUGGUGCUGGGUCGUAAUAUCCCAGGGAAAGGGCCUUGAGGUCAGCGGCCCGUUCUGCCCUGUGCCUGGGAGGAAUGUUCGUGGUGGCCCCAGCCUGGAUCCGAGAAGAAAGGCAGCCUUGUGGGCGAAAGGUCCUGAAGUCUGAGCAGUGGUUGGUGACGGAAGACCUGGAUGCGAAAAGCCGACCACCAGAGUCAAGACCCAGAGAAAACAGCAGGUGCCUGAGGCAAGGAAGCCGGGAUUCCCAGACUCUGGCAGCCUGGCCCCAGCUGUCCCAGAGGGCACCCCGCCAGCCCCUGGGUCCACUCCACCCAGGGUCCAGCCCUGACUGCGCCAAUGGCAGCAAAGAUGGCAGGGACCCCAAGGGCAACUUCCCAACCACCAGCAGCAUUUAGGGAGCACCAACUGUGUACCCCACUCUGGACUGGGCAGCAUAGAGAUUGUACCGCAGUGAAUUCCUGGGGACCAGGGGUGGUGACUUCAUUGUCUUCCUGUCCCUAGAGCCCAGCACUGGCUACUCAUGGAUUCAAACAUUUAUGGUGCACCUACUGUGUACCAGUGACUAUGCUGAGUGCAUCUGCCUGCCAAGAGAGGGAAUUUCUGGACCAUAUAUUUAGGGAGGGGAGGAAGACAGUGCACUUUCUUUUUUUUUUUUUAAUCUUUUGUUGUUGUUGUUGUUGAGAUGGAGUCUCACUUUGUCGCCCAGGCUGGAGUGCAGUGGCACAAUCUCGGCUCACUGCAACCUCUGCCUCCUGGGUUCAAGUGAUUCUCCUGCCUCAGCCUCCAAAGUAGCUGGGAUUACAGGCGCCUGCCAACAUGCUUGGCUAAUUUUUAUGUUUUUAGUAGAGACAGGGUUUCUCCAUGUUGACCAGGCCAGUCUCGAACUCCUGACCUCAGGUGAUCCACCCGCCUCGGCCCCCCAAAGUGCUGGGAUUACAGAUGUGAGCCGCCACGCCCGGCCGAGAGUGCACUUUUCUAUCAAAGUUUUUUUUUUUUUUUUUUUUAACUGAAAGCAGUCUUUUCGUAAGUAAAUAAACAUAAAGAAUUCCCAAGUUAAGCCGGGAGCGGUGGCUCAUCCCUGUAAUUCUAGCGCUUUGGGAGGCCAAGAUGGGAGGAUUGCUUGAGCCUGGGAGUUUGAGACCAGCCUGGGCAACAU
This 2285-nucleotide long non-coding RNA is filed under the name Homo sapiens (human). RNAcentral describes it as "HSALNT0268508". The record is from RNAcentral. Lineage: Eukaryota; Metazoa; Chordata; Mammalia; Primates; Hominidae.